This 367-nucleotide RNase P RNA is filed under the name Prevotella sp. Its description in RNAcentral is "RNase P RNA component class A". It matches the Rfam family "Bacterial RNase P class A". From Rfam's summary of the family: Ribonuclease P (RNase P) is a ubiquitous endoribonuclease, found in archaea, bacteria and eukarya as well as chloroplasts and mitochondria. Its best characterised activity is the generation of mature 5'-ends of tRNAs by cleaving the 5'-leader elements of precursor-tRNAs. The record is from RNAcentral. Lineage: Bacteria; Pseudomonadati; Bacteroidota; Bacteroidia; Bacteroidales; Prevotellaceae.
GCAGUGCUCCGGUCUGUCGCCGGCAUCGUUGUGAUGCGGGAGGAAAGUCCGGGCAGCAUAGGGUACCCGGCUUCCGAAAAUAGAAGCCAUUGGUGACAGUGGGAUAUGACAGAAGAGAAUGACCGCCGGGUUGAAAGACUCGGUAAGGGUGAGAAGGUGGUGUAAGAGACCACCGGCCGGCGGGUGAUCGUCGGGCCGUGUCAUCCCGGGGCUGCAAGUUCGCGUAUACCGUCGUUUGAGGGUUGCCCGCCCGAAGAUAUCCGACGGAGGGUAGAACGCUUGAACCGUGUGGUGACAUACGGGUUAGAUAAAUGACAGACACCAUGUUUUCAUGGUACAGAACCCGGCUUAUAGGUGCAGUGCUUUC